This 253-nucleotide ribosomal RNA is filed under the name uncultured bacterium. RNAcentral's name for it is "partial 16S ribosomal RNA". It matches the Rfam family "Bacterial small subunit ribosomal RNA", at positions 524 to 776 of the family's 1533-position model. The record is from RNAcentral.
UACGAAGGGGGCUAGCGUUGCUCGGAAUUACUGGGCGUAAAGCGCACGUAGGCGGCUCUUUAAGUCGGGGGUGAAAUCCUGGAGCUCAACUCCAGAACUGCCUUCGAUACUGUAGAGCUUGAGUUCGGGAGAGGUGAGUGGAACUGCGAGUGUAGAGGUGAAAUUCGUAGAUAUUCGGAAGAACACCAGUGGCGAAGGCGACUCGCUGGACAGACAUUGACGCUGAGGUGCGAAAGCGUGGGGAGCAAACAGG